Cyprinus carpio (common carp) is the source of this 877-nucleotide long non-coding RNA. RefSeq lists it as uncharacterized. NCBI's taxonomy places the organism in Eukaryota, Metazoa, Chordata, Actinopteri, Cypriniformes, Cyprinidae. The record is from RefSeq and is a predicted model, not a curated record. The transcript has 3 exons.
CAUGGCCUAUUGCUUUUGGAAAACCUAAAGCAGCAGGUUGCCCAACUCACCACCACCGUGAACCUGCUCAUGGCCAAGGUCAAUAACGGCCUCCAACCAGCAGCCUUUGAGUGGUCCGGGGAAUUUCAAUUCCCCCUGGAAUCAGAUCCAGAGCUGGACCGCUUUGAGGCCUGGCUGGCGGACCCUGCCAACGAUAGGCAGAAACAUGCCCUUGUGAAUACCCUGUCUGCUGUCGGGGGUGUGGAUUUGAAGAGGGUGACAUGGAACAUUCUGUCAUACCUGUUUUCCUGCCCCCUUUCCUGAACAAUUAAUUGGAAGGGUGUGAACAAGAAGAGGGCCUUCCACAGGAUGGCAUCACGGACCCUCCUCAGCCGUGCAGUGGGCAAAUGCGCACUGACAGCAACUGCAACAGAAGCUGAAAUAUGGAGGCAUGCUAUAAGGUGGUUUGCCCUUUCGGCGGACAGGAGAGGAGGGCGCCAGGAGAUACUGGCGCGUCAGCAGCAGGAGCAGCAACAGCAACAGCUGCCACAGCACCCAGCUAGUGAUUUUGUUUAAGUGCAUGUUUUUUUAUUCACGUUGUGUUUAUAGCCUGUGCGUUUUUUUAUCCAUUAAUUCUGUGUUUGUUGUUGAGUGUGUUUUGUGUUAAUUGUUGACUUUGUUCAUGACUUUGUUGUUCAUUUUUUAUAAUUAAAUCUAUGUAUUCGUGGUCAUUAAUUCUGUGUUUGUUAACUUUGUUCACGUUGUUUUAGUAUGCGUUUUAAUCAUUAAAACGAUUUAUUUCAGCUAUAGCCUAUAGGCCUACGCAUUGCUCCAACUGAAACUAGCCUUUAUCAAGUCAAGUCAAGCUUUUUAUUUAUAGCCAAGGCCUUGUAGUGAA